UAUUAAAAAAUUUAUCCAAUUGCUUUGUUAAAAACUGGCGUGAUUGAAAAAUUAAUCGGAUAGUAACAUAUGACGUGCUACGUUUAUCUCAUGCUGAUGUACAAAUGCCCAUUUUUAACAGUAAAAAUAGAUGAAAUUUUUAACA
Non-coding RNA from Gossypium hirsutum (cotton), 145 nucleotides. The record is from Rfam. Lineage: Eukaryota; Viridiplantae; Streptophyta; Magnoliopsida; Malvales; Malvaceae.